Molecule: transfer RNA, 65 nt
Filed under: Trachylepis striata (African striped mabuya)
Lineage: Eukaryota; Metazoa; Chordata; Lepidosauria; Squamata; Scincidae
Description: tRNA-Cys
Source: RNAcentral
GCCCUGUGGUGUUUUAACGCUAGAGUGCAAAUCUAGAGACGAACCCCUAAAGGCGUUCCAGGGCU